UGAGGAAUAUUGGACAAUGGGCGCAAGCCUGAUCCAGCCAUGCCGCGUGCAGGAUGACGGUCCUAUGGAUUGUAAACUGCUUUUGUACAGGAAGAAACAGUUCUACGUGUAGAACCUUGACGGUACUGUAAGAAUAAGGAUCGGCUAACUCCGUGCCAGCAGCCGCGGUAAUACGGAGGAUCCAAGCGUUAUCCGGAAUCAUUGGGUUUAAAGGGUCCGUAGGCGGUUAGAUAAGUCAGUGGUGAAAGCCAUCGCUCAACGGUGGAACGGCCAUUGAUACUGUCUGACUUGAAUUAUUAGGAAGUAACUAGAAUAUGUAGUGUAGCGGUGAAAUGCUUAGAGAUUACAUGGAAUACCAAUUGCGAAGGCAGGUUACUACUAAUGGAUUGACGCUGAUGGACGAAAGCGUGGUAGCGAACAGGAUUAGAUACCCUGGUAGUCCCUGAG
This 447-nucleotide ribosomal RNA is filed under the name uncultured bacterium. RNAcentral describes it as "bacterial SSU rRNA". It matches the Rfam family "Bacterial small subunit ribosomal RNA", at positions 355 to 801 of the family's 1533-position model. The record is from RNAcentral.